Molecule: ribosomal RNA, 694 nt
Filed under: uncultured bacterium
Lineage: Bacteria
Description: bacterial SSU rRNA
Rfam family: Bacterial small subunit ribosomal RNA
Source: RNAcentral
GACACUGAGGUGCGAAAGCGUGGGUAGCAAACAGGAUUAGAUACCCUGGUAGUCCACGCCGUAAACGAUGUCGACCAGCCGUUGGGUGCCUAGCGCACUUUGUGGCGAAGUUAACGCGAUAAGUCGACCGCCUGGGGAGUACGGCCGCAAGGUUAAAACUCAAAUGAAUUGACGGGGGCCCGCACAAGCGGUGGAGCAUGUGGUUUAAUUCGAUGCAACGCGAAGAACCUUACCUACUCUUGACAUCCUACGAAUUCGGUAGAGAUACCUUAGUGCCUUCGGGAACGCAGAGACAGGUGCUGCAUGGCUGUCGUCAGCUCGUGUUGUGAAAUGUUGGGUUAAGUCCCGUAACGAGCGCAACCCUUGUCCUUAUUUGCCAGCGCGUAAUGGCGGGAACUCUAAGGAGACUGCCGGUGACAAACCGGAGGAAGGUGGGGACGACGUCAAGUCAUCAUGGCCCUUACGAGUAGGGCUACACACGUGCUACAAUGGUCGGUACAAAGGGUUGCGAGCUCGCGAGAGUCAGCCAAUCCCGAAAAGCCGAUCUCAGUCCGGAUCGGAGUCUGCAACUCGACUCCGUGAAGUCGGAAUCGCUAGUAAUCGUAGAUCAGAAUGCUACGGUGAAUACGUUCCCGGGCCUUGUACACACCGCCCGUCACACCAUGGGAGUGGACUGCACCAGAAGUGGUUAGCC